Molecule: transfer RNA, 90 nt
Filed under: Candidatus Omnitrophota bacterium
Lineage: Bacteria; Pseudomonadati; Candidatus Omnitrophota
Also listed under: 1 other name
Description: tRNA-Ser
Rfam family: tRNA
About the family: Transfer RNA (tRNA) molecules are approximately 80 nucleotides in length.
Source: RNAcentral
GGAGAGGUGUCCGAGUGGUUGAAGGAGCACGAUUGGAAAUCGUGUGGCUGCUUAAUAGGUGGUUCGAGAGUUCGAAUCUCUCCCUCUCCG